Molecule: microRNA, 22 nt
Filed under: Gallus gallus (chicken)
Lineage: Eukaryota; Metazoa; Chordata; Aves; Galliformes; Phasianidae
Description: gga-miR-6686-3p
Source: miRBase by way of RNAcentral
AGGGCAAUCCUGGAGACGCUGA